CCUACGGGCGGCAGCAGUGAGGAAUAUUGGUCAAUGGCCGCAGGGCUGAACCAGCCAAGUCGCGUGAGGGAUGACGGUCCUAUGGAUUGUAAACCUCUUUUGUCAGGGAGCAAAGGGCGCCACGUGUGGCGCUUUGCGAGUACCUGAAGAAAAAGCAUCGGCUAACUCCGUGCCAGCAGCCGCGGUAAUACGGAGGAUGCGAGCGUUAUCCGGAUUUAUUGGGUUUAAAGGGUGCGCAGGCGGAAUGUCAAGUCAGCGGUAAAAUUUCGGGGCUCAACCCCGUCGUGCCGUUGAAACUGGUGUUCUUGAGUGAGCGAGAAGUAUGCGGAAUGCGUGGUGUAGCGGUGAAAUGCAUAGAUAUCACGCAGAACUCCGAUUGCGAAGGCAGCAUACCGGCGCUCAACUGACGCUCAUGCACGAAAGCGUGGGUAUCGAACAGGAUUAGAUACCCCAGUAGUC
RNAcentral lists this ribosomal RNA (459 nucleotides) under uncultured bacterium. RNAcentral's name for it is "partial 16S ribosomal RNA". It matches the Rfam family "Bacterial small subunit ribosomal RNA", at positions 338 to 795 of the family's 1533-position model. The record is from RNAcentral.